AGGAGGUGUCUUUGUUUCUUUUUUUGUUUCCUCUGUGUUGAGGCAGUGUUUGUGGACUCACAGACACCUGUGGAGGCUCCUCCCUGAGUUGUGUACGAGACCCUUAGUCCAGCCCACGGGGAGGGGUGGGGGUGGCGUGGGGAGGUAGAGACCCUGGGCCAACACAGUGAGGGAGGGCAGGGGCUUCUCAAGGUCCCAGUGCUUGUCCAAGGUGUUUGAGUGCCCGCUGGGCUGUGUUCCAGGGCUUCCCACUGGCUCUCUCUGGACCAGAGAUUCUGCUUCUGCUCCACCUGAAGUGAUAGAUUGUUCUCCCCGGGAACACUGACGGAAGUCGAGGAUCUUUCUUCUCUGGAAGUGUCUCACCAAACUCAGAGGCACUUGGCACGUGGUGACCACAUAUCCGAGCCCUGCUGCAUGCCAGGGAGAUCCCAGCUUGCAACUUAGACUUCUUUAGGCCUGCUCUGCUGUCAUCAGUGUCAAAAGUUCCUGUCCACCUCUAAACCAGGGGAAAAUAUCCCAUCAAAC
Molecule: long non-coding RNA, 525 nt
Filed under: Capra hircus (goat)
Lineage: Eukaryota; Metazoa; Chordata; Mammalia; Artiodactyla; Bovidae
Description: lncRNA (ENSCHIG00010013475.1)
Source: RNAcentral